RNAcentral lists this ribosomal RNA (1364 nucleotides) under synthetic construct. RNAcentral's name for it is "bacterial SSU rRNA". It matches the Rfam family "Bacterial small subunit ribosomal RNA". The record is from RNAcentral. RNAcentral also lists the same sequence under 1 other name.
AGAGUUUGAUCCUGGCUCAGGAUGAACGCUGGCGGCGUGCCUAACACAUGCAAGUCGAGCGAUUUACUUUGGUAAAGAGCGGGGGAUGGGUGAGUUACGCGUGGGUAACCUGCCCUGUACACACGGAUAACAUACCGAAAGGUAUGAUAAUACGAGAUAAAAUACUUUUAUCGCAUGGUAGAAGUAUCAAAGCUCUUGCGGUACAGGAUGGACCCGCGUCUGAUUAGCUAGUUGGUAAGGUAACGGCUUACCAAGGCGACGAUCAGUAGCCGACCUGAGAGGGUGAUCGGCCACAUUGGAACUGAGACACGGUCCAAACUCCUACGGGAGGCAGCAGUGGGGAAUAUUGCACAAUGGGCGAAAGCCUGAUGCAGCAACGCCGCGUGAGCGAUGAAGGCCUUCGGGUCGUAAAGCUCUGUCCUCAAGGAAGAUAAUGACGGUACUUGAGGAGGAAGCCCCGGCUAACUACGUGCCAGCAGCCGCGGUAAUACGUAGGGGGCUAGCGUUAUCCGGAAUUACUGGGCGUAAAGGGUGCGUAGGUGGUUUCUUAAGUCAGAGGUGAAAGGCUACGGCUCAACCGUAGUAAGCCUUUGAAACUGGGGAACUUGAGUGCAGGAGAGGAGAGUGGAAUUCCUAGUGUAGCGGUGAAAUGCGUAGAUAUUAGGAGGAACACCAGUUGCGAAGGCGGCCUGCUGGACCGCGACUGACGUUGAGGCUCGAAAGCGUGGGGAGCGAACAGGAUUAGAUACCCUGGUAGUCCACGCCGUAAACGAUGAUUACUAGGUGUCGGGGAGCAGAGACUGCCCGGUGCCGGCGCAAACGCAAUAAGUAGUCCACCUGGGAAGUACGUCCGCAAGGAUGAAACUCAAAGGAAUUGACGGGGACCCGCACAAGCGGUGGAGCAUGUGGUUUAAUUCGAAGCAACGCGAAGAACCUUACCUGGCCUUGACAUCCCGGUGAAUGCAGGGUAAUGCCUGCAGCCUUUCGGGGCAGCGGAGACAGGUGGUGCAUGGUUGUCGUCAGCUCGUGUCGUGAGAUGUUGGGUCAAGUCCCGCAACGAGCGCAACCCCUGCCCCUAGUAGCCAGCACGUAAAGGUGGGCACUCUAGGGGGACUGCCGGGGACAACCCGGAGGAGGGCGGGGACGACGUCAAAUCAUCAUGCCCCUUAUGGCCAGGGCUACACACGUGCUACAAUGGCGUGCACAGAGGGAAGCAAAGCGGCGACGCCAAGCAAAGCCCGGAAAGCACGCCUCAGUUCGGAUUGCAGCCUGCAACUCGGCUGCAUGAAGCCGGAAUCGCUAGUAAUCGCGGAUCAGAACGCCGCGGUGAAUACGUUCCCGGGUCUUGAACACACCGCCCGUCA